GUUCUGCAUGCUUUUCUUGAUUAAUAUUACCAUUCAAAUACUGAAAUAAAAGGUUAUGAAUCUUCUUUGUUUGAACAUGAAAAGAGUCACGAACAAUAUAAUAUUCCAGAGCUUCCCCCCAACAUCCAGCAAGAACUUGAAAUUGUUGCGCGACCCUGCAGGUGGUCAUGAUACACGCAACAAAAGCAUGAACUGCUAAAAUCUUUUUUAGGCGUCUAUCAACUGCAGAGGAAUAAAUAUGAUAAACCGAAUGAAACCUCUACUUUACAGUCCAGAUUUAUAAAAAAAUUACUGUCACAAUUCUCGAGCUCUCUUGCUGAUGACGAAUACUCAUAGACGUGGACUCACAUUUGCAAGCCUAUGGAGCCUAUGGAUAUUCUGAAAGAUAUAUAACAUCCGAGAGAAUCGAGCAAACCUGGAACAACACUUUAAAAUGUCACUGCGACUCGACUCUGUUGAGCAAGUUGUGUGUAAAAAUUUAUGAUUUCGUGCAGGAUAAUAUCCAGUGGAUGGUUAGAAAUGAUCAACAGAGAAUCUAGAAGUUCUGGGAUGAAGUUAACAAAGGCCUUUGGCAAGUCCAAGUAUUGGAAGAUGGAAAUAAUAAUCUUGCGGUUUACAAGCCUACGAUUCAUCUCAAAUCUUUUGGUUUCUAUCUUUUCCAACUUGGAGGGGAUUUAGAAGAUCUGGAAGUUGAAUAGCCGUUAAAACGCUGAGCAGUCAGGUCUGGGCAUUGCUCCACUUUUGAAAGAUAGUCACCGACGGUAUAAAGGUGGAACAUUCAACAACCAACGGAUGAUUGUGGACUAUAAUGAGUUUGAGAAACAAUCAAAAACCGGUGUUUUAUAAGUCCUAGAACGACUCCCCAGUGAAACAGUCUAUGAGUUUUCAAAUCCGCCGUACGCAAAUGUGUCUCAUCUUGGAAUGCCUGUUAGGUUUGAUUUUAACCCCGUACUGUUUGUAUGUAAUAAAUAAUAAGUUUAAUUUAACCCUGUGAUGUUUUUGUGGUAUAAAAAAGUCAACCCUAUGCUGAAAUAUUAAACUUUUAUUCUAUUUUAUCAUUUUUAUUCAUAAUCUUUAUAUUUUACUCACACAAAUGUAUCUCAUCUGGGAAUACCCGAUAAGUUUGAUUUUAGCCCUGUACUUUUUGUAUGGGAUAAAUAUUCAUUUUUGUGUUGUUUUUGUGUGAUAAAUAAAGUCAAGUCUAUGCUGAAACUUGAGAUUUUAAACUAUUUUUUAUGAUAAUUAUUAAUACGAUUAAUCAUAUUCAUAAUUAUAAUUUAUACUCAUAUUCAUCUAAUCUGUAUUCAUUACUGCAAUAUUAAAUAUGCUGAAUUAUCGGUUAAUAUUAAACUGUGCUUUUGCUGUAAGUGAGUUUCGGAAACUUCUCUGAUAUGUAGUGGAGCCACCAUAAAUCUUAGACUAUUUUAUUGAUUUUUUGUUGCUAUCAUAUGUGGUACAGGGUGUCCAUAAAGUCCCUUUACAAUUCCAAUAAGGGUCAGUUCUCAAUAUACCUUAACCAGGUUUGUUGUUUUUUAAUCAGUAAUUGUUCAAGUGUUUUAACUUAAUUCAAUACAUCAGUGAGGGCCAACCCAGUAUUCGGUAUCUAUGACCUCUAAGAAAGUUUAGGACUUUAUGGACACCCUAUCUAUCUUGUUUUUAUCAGUGGCUCCCAUAUCACCUAAUUUUGCGUCAUGAUCUGUUUCGCGCCCUUCACUAAGAGAGUCUUAAGUUAUUCAACCACUGAUAUUUUUUAGAAAGACUCGAAUUUCCCGUUUCAGCUUGGCCAAACCCAAGUGCUUUAACUUCUGGUAUAUUUUACCUGCAAUGGUGUUAAAUUUUCAAAUUCGGGGCGAAAAUUUUUUUAAAUUUGCCACAAGAAAAUAAAACUUAAGAACCCCUAAACCAAGUCCCUAUUUUAUCAACCCACUCAGACUAUCACUAAUAAUAAUUGUGUAGUUGAAGCUUUUUGCCUAUAACAGCUCUUUUUUAUGUUAUUUCGCUCAAAAGCGGGUAGGAUAGAUUUGAGCUGUCAAUGGCAAACUAGACUUCCUCGAUUAUAUAGAUCAGUGGUUUUCAAACUUUUUAGACCGCAGCCCCUUUUUAUAAUUUUUCAGUCUCGCGUUCCACCUAAAAAAUAACUACAGUAGCUAACAAUAAACUACAAAUAACAGAUGGUAAGACGAAAGUA
Styela clava is the source of this 2188-nucleotide non-coding RNA. Lineage: Eukaryota; Metazoa; Chordata; Ascidiacea; Stolidobranchia; Styelidae. The record is from RefSeq and is a predicted model, not a curated record.